UACGGAGGGUGCAAGCGUUAUCCGGAUUCACUGGGUUUAAAGGGUGCGUAGGCGGAUAAGUAAGUCAGUGGUGAAAUCUCCGAGCUUAACUCGGAAACUGCCGUUGAUACUAUUUGUCUUGAAUAUUGUGGAGGUAAGCGGAAUAUGUCAUGUAGCGGUGAAAUGCUUAGAUAUGACAUAGAACACCAAUUGCGAAGGCAGCUUACUACGCAAUCAUUGACGCUGAGGCACGAAAGCGUGGGGAUCAAACAG
RNAcentral lists this ribosomal RNA (252 nucleotides) under uncultured bacterium. Its description in RNAcentral is "partial 16S ribosomal RNA". It matches the Rfam family "Bacterial small subunit ribosomal RNA", at positions 524 to 775 of the family's 1533-position model. The record is from RNAcentral.